This 426-nucleotide ribosomal RNA is filed under the name uncultured bacterium. Its description in RNAcentral is "bacterial SSU rRNA". It matches the Rfam family "Bacterial small subunit ribosomal RNA", at positions 356 to 773 of the family's 1533-position model. The record is from RNAcentral.
GGGGAAUUUUGCGCAAUGGGCGAAAGCCUGACGCAGCAACGCCGCGUGAGUGAUGAAGGCCCUCGGGUCGUAAAGCUCUGUCAGAGGGGAAGAAACUUUUGAGGGAGAAUAUCCCUUGAAACUGACGGUACCCUCAAAGGAAGCACCGGCUAACUCCGUGCCAGCAGCCGCGGUAAUACGGAGGGUGCAAGCGUUGUUCGGAAUUAUUGGGCGUAAAGCGCGUGUAGGCGGCUAUUUAAGUCUGAUGUGAAAGCCCGGGGCUCAACCUCGGAAGUGCAUUGGAAACUGGAUAGCUUGAGUACGGGAGAGGGUAGUGGAAUUUCGAGUGUAGGGGUGAAAUCCGUAGAUAUUCGAAGGAACACCGGUGGCGAAGGCGGCUACCUGGACCGAUACUGACGCUGAGACGCGAAAGCGUGGGGAGCAAAC